CUCGGGAAACUGAGGAUAAACCGCGAUAGGUCACUACUUCUGGAAUGGGUAAUGACCCAAACCUACAUGGCCCCUGGAUUGGACUGCGGCCGAUCAGGCCGUUGGUGAGGUAAUGGCCCACCAAACCUGUAACCGGUACGGGCUCUGAGAGGAGGAGCCCGGAGAUGGGCACUGAGACAAGGGCCCAGGCCCUAUGGGGCGCAGCAGGCGCGAAACCUCUGCAAUAGGCGAAAGCUUGACAGGGUUACUCUGAGUGAUUUCCGUUAAGGAGAUCUUUUGGCACCUCUAAAAAUGGUGCAGAAUAAGGGGUGAGCAAGUCUGGUGUCAGCCGCCGCGGUAAUACCAGCACCCCGAGUGGUCGGGACGUUUAUUGGGCCUAAAGCAUCCGUAGCCGGUUCUACAAGUCUUCCGUUAAAUCCACCUGCUUAACAGAUGGGCUGCGGAAGAUACUAUGGAGCUAGGAGGCGGGAGAGGCAAGCGGUACUCGAUGGGUAGGGGUAAAAUCCGUUGAUCCAUUGAAGACCACCAGUGGCGAAGGCGGCUUGCCAGAACGCGCUCGACGGUGAGGGAUGAAAGCUGGGGGAGCAAACCGGAUUAGAUACCCGGGUAGUCCCAGCUGUAAACGAUGCAGACUCGGUGAUGAGUUGGCUUCAUGCCAACUCAGU
Molecule: ribosomal RNA, 665 nt
Filed under: uncultured archaeon
Lineage: Archaea
Description: bacterial SSU rRNA
Rfam family: Archaeal small subunit ribosomal RNA
Source: RNAcentral